AACAGCGUAAUUCAGAGGAAGAAUGCAAGGCUCAUAUUUGGUGUUACCUUGAAGUCGCUGGAUCGAAACCAGCCGCUGUUACUA
This is a non-coding RNA of Kwoniella sp. DSM 27419, 84 nucleotides long. NCBI's taxonomy places the organism in Eukaryota, Fungi, Basidiomycota, Tremellomycetes, Tremellales, Cryptococcaceae. The record is from the annotation of a GenBank genome assembly.